AUUUUAUUUUGUUUUUUUCUAUGCCUUAGAUGAAUGCAGACUCAAAAAUAUACACAAUGCAACACACACUUCCUGAGCCCUCCCCCAACCUUAAAUCACACAGUCCACUGUGCGAAUAAACUUGGAAGAGAGUACUCAGGACAGAUCCAAUCACAGAAACAAAAAAUGAAGAAACAAAUCACAAAAGAUGAUAUAAUACAAUGGUGAAGUGAGGCGCUUACCUCAGUCGAAGAAUGAACGUAGUUGCUCGUCAAUGGCUGCCUGCGAUUGCUCCCAGGCCAUAGACGAACCGUCUUGUUCUGUAUCAGCUCCAGCGGGUGGGUACUCGACCUCAUCAGCUCUGUGGCGGCCAGCACCGCUCUGAGGAAACUCGACCUCUCUCCUUCUGCUGCGGCCAGCACCGCGGUCGCGUAAACUACGAGACUGCAGAAGUCGUGCGCUCCUACUGCUAGAUCGAGUGAGUGUGGUCCUCCUCUUCCUCCCAGAUUCACGAGGCUUGAAUGAUGAAUGCCUCGAAGGGACAUGCGGAAUCUCCUGCUCUCUAGGCAAAGGCCUGCGUCGACUUGGCUCGGGUGCGUCAUAUCUCCUCGAAGGCAUGUCCUGAGGGAGAUGUCCCUGCGGAAUCGCUGUAGUGGAAGAGGAGCAGCAGAGCUUGUUCUUCAUAAACUUGAUAGCCCUGAGGCACUUGGCGAGUAACUUGUCCUGUUUCAUGCACCACUUCUACAGCUUGUUGUUGUUUCUGUGAGCUUCGCUCAAACUCCUGCUUUCCCUCGCAGGAGGUAUAUGCUCACUGAAAUGAUACAUGCUCGUGUCAAACUCCGUCGCAUCUAUAUCAUCCGUCUCAUCAAUAUCUUCUGUUGUAGCUCGUUCGGUAUGACUGAUCUCCUCAGUUGGCGGACUACCCUCGAAAUAAAGUUCUUCAAGCGCAGGCUUGAAGUCAAUGUUCCUGCCCUCGAGAAUCCUAGUAGCGUUAAUGCAGGGGAGAAGAAUGUUGGCGAUUUUAAUCGAUGAAUGCUCGAACCUGUAGCGGUGAAAGUCACCAGCCAUGUCAAACUCCAAGAACUCACAUCUGCGCAAAUGAUCCAAGUCCAUCAUCCUCGGUGCUAAACCUA
RNAcentral lists this small RNA (1112 nucleotides) under Arabidopsis thaliana (thale cress). RNAcentral's name for it is "ATSL200300". Lineage: Eukaryota; Viridiplantae; Streptophyta; Magnoliopsida; Brassicales; Brassicaceae. The record is from RNAcentral.